ACGGAGGAUCCAAGCGUUAUCCGGAUUUAUUGGGUUUAAAGGGUGCGUAGGCGGACCCGUAAGUCAGUGGUGAAAGUUUGCAGCUCAACUGUAAAAUUGCCAUUGAAACUAUGGGUCUUGAGUGUAAAUGAGGUAGGCGGAAUGUGUUGUGUAGCGGUGAAAUGCUUAGAUAUAACACAGAACACCAAUUGCGAAGGCAGCUUACUAGGAUACAACUGACGCUGAGGCACGAAAGCGUGGGGAUCAAACAGGAUUAGAUACCCUGGUAGUCCACGCAGUAAACGAUGAAUACUAACUGUAUGCGAUAUACUGUAUGUGGUAAAGCGAAAGCGUUAAGUAUUCCACCUGGGGAGUACGUUCGCAAGAAUG
This 369-nucleotide ribosomal RNA is filed under the name uncultured bacterium. RNAcentral's name for it is "bacterial SSU rRNA". It matches the Rfam family "Bacterial small subunit ribosomal RNA", at positions 525 to 896 of the family's 1533-position model. The record is from RNAcentral.